GGGUCUAGGCAAUAGCAGUCCUGCCAAAGAUACCCCAUGGCUCGUGCAGAAAGCCCUGAUAUAAAUUCCCUCUUUCUUCUGGGUCUUUCCCUUGGCUUUGGGCGCCUAAGGGGCAAAGGUGAGUGUCUGCACCUGGGGGACGAUUUUGGCAGUCUCUCUGGAUCACAAUCUCUGAUUUUGUUGUAGGCAAUCUGCACCAGGUGACACUCAGAGGGAAGCUGCAUUCCAGGUGACAGUCUUGGAUGUCCGUGUGCCCAACCAAGGACUGGCUUCCUUGGCACGUGGGCUCUAUAGGUAAGCAGGGAUGCCUGGCUGUAGGGAGUCCUACCGGGGCUUAAUGAACCCAAUGAAAGAGAGUAUUUGCAUUUAGCAAAUCAAUGAGGCCUGGGUGGAAUCAAGCCCUCUUGGUGUUUUUGAGAUAGAAAAGCUGCUUUCUGCCCAAGGGAGGGAUGAGCUGUGGGCCCAGAAAGGGCAGGAUUCCCAGAUCAUCAUCUGUUUGGGGACUCCAUGGGUCUGGGUAGGAAUAAACAGAAGGGACCACCUGUAGGAAUGCCACCUUACCAUUAUGGCUCGGGUUUCAUGCCUUGUAUCAGAAGAGACCAUCUAUCUAUGUGCACCUUCUUCACAACAUUGGAUCACACCCAGGCCUGUCAAAGACUCUGGGGGCCCUUGGAGGCUCGGGCAUCUCUUUGGCCUUUUCCUGCUAAAGGGAGGUAGCUCUUGGAGGCACAGUUAGACAGGUGAACACAGAAAGCUACACAGGUAGAAAGAACAGUGGGCCUCACUCAGACUGUUGGGGGUGGUAGGCUA
This 810-nucleotide small RNA is filed under the name Bos taurus (domestic cattle). Lineage: Eukaryota; Metazoa; Chordata; Mammalia; Artiodactyla; Bovidae. The record is from RNAcentral.